Molecule: ribosomal RNA, 833 nt
Filed under: alpha proteobacterium SCGC AAA008-L05
Lineage: Bacteria; Pseudomonadati; Pseudomonadota; Alphaproteobacteria
Description: SSU rRNA
Rfam family: Bacterial small subunit ribosomal RNA
Source: RNAcentral
GCUGGCGGCACGCCUAACACAUGCAAGUCGAACGAAGUAGCAAUACUUAGUGGCGAACGGGUGAGUAUAAUGUGGGUAUCUGCCUUUUGGUUUGGAAUAACACGGGGAAACUUGUGCUAAUACCGGAUAAGCCUUUACAGGGAAAGUUUUAACGCCAAAAGAUGAGCCCGCACUUGAUUAGCUAGUUGGUAAGGUAAUGGCUUACCAAGGCUACGAUCAAUAGCUGAUCUGAGAGGAUGAUCAGCCACAUUGGGACUGAGACACGGCCCAAACUCCUACGGGAGGCAGCAGUGGGGAAUCUUGCACAAUGGGGGAAACCCUGAUGCAGCGAUGCCGCGUGAGUGAAGAAGGCCUUUGGGUUGUAAAGCUCUUUCGUCGGGGAAGAAAAUGACUGUACCCGAAUAAGAAGGUCCGGCUAACUUCGUGCCAGCAGCCGCGGUAAUACGAAGGGACCUAGCGUAGUUCGGAAUUACUGGGCUUAAAGAGCUCGUAGGUGGUUAGAAAAGUUGGUGGUGAAAUCCCAAGGCUUAACCUUGGAACUGCCACCAAAACUUUUUAACUGGAGUAUGAUAGAGGAAAGUGGAAUUUCUAGUGUAGAGGUGAAAUUCGUAGAUAUUAGAAAGAACACCGAUUGCGAAGGCAACUUUCUGGAUCAUUACUGACACUGAGGAGCGAAAGCAUGGGUAGCGAAGAGGAUUAGAUACCCUCGUAGUCCAUGCCGUAAACGAUGUGUGCUAGACGUUGGAAAUUUAAUUUUCAGUGUCGCAGCAAAAGCGUUAAGCACACCGCCUGGGGAGUACGACCGCAAAGGUUAAACUUAAAAGGAAUUGACG